GAAAGUGGUUGUGGCUGACAUAUACAAGGUGCUUUGAAAGGACCCAUUAGCAUUACGGAUGGAAGUGAAAUACUGAUUAACAUGAUCAAGAUUAUUAAAUUGCCAGAUGAAACAAAAGCUAAGAUAUGUCAUAUAUUAGAAGGUACAGUACAGAGGUGCAACUUGGAUGUGCUCAUUGUUAGAUUAUGCGAUUAAUUGUGGGAUUAUGUGUGACUCCUCAGCCUGACUGGGCAGGCCAGUGUGCUGCUGGAGUGGUGGAGAGCCCCAAGAACUCUGUGAGAGACCCUGCUCCAUCUCUCCAAGGCUGCUCCAGGAGCCACCUGCUUGAGGUGCUCUACCAGUCAGCUGGUGCUCUGAUUUCUGCUGCCUGCCCUGCCUCCCAGAAUAGUUUUGCUAUUCUGCACCAGGCUUCCUGCCGUGGUGAGCACCAGCAUUUCAGGACACAGCCGUGCUGGCAAAGAAAUAGCCCCAUACUAGUACAAAGAGUAUCAGGCACGUGUGGAGCAUAGUCUGUAUCUUUCUGCGUGCACUCUCUCACUGCUGCGAUCACUUAAAAGACAAGGGGACACCGAGUCUCAGAAGCCUUUGUUAAUCAUCCACAGCUGACUGUUCACCAUAUAAAUAAAUGAUGAUUCGUCCUCA
RNAcentral lists this long non-coding RNA (642 nucleotides) under Parus major (Great Tit). RNAcentral's name for it is "lncRNA (ENSPMJG00000002546.1)". Lineage: Eukaryota; Metazoa; Chordata; Aves; Passeriformes; Paridae. The record is from RNAcentral.